This 109-nucleotide ribosomal RNA is filed under the name Pogona vitticeps (central bearded dragon). The record is from RNAcentral. Lineage: Eukaryota; Metazoa; Chordata; Lepidosauria; Squamata; Agamidae.
UAGGUCCACCAUACCACCCUGAAUAUGCCUGUUCUCUUCUGAUUUUGGAAGUUAAACAAGGUUGGCCCUCCUUAGUACUUUGAUCUCGCCUGAAACCUUGGAGAGCUAC